GAUUAACGCUGGCGGCGUGCCUAACACAUGCAAGUCGAACGAGGUAGCAAUACCUAGUGGCAGACGGGUGAGUAACGCGUGGUCAACCUACCGUUGAGUGGGGGAUAACUAGCCGAAAGGUUAGCUAAUACCGCAUACGUCUCCGAGUGGCAUCACUUGGCGAUAAAAGGAGCAAUCCGCUCGAUGACGGGACCGCGUCCCAUUAGCUAGAUGGUGGGGUAACGGCCUACCAUGGCACCGAUGGGUAGCUGGUUUGAGAGAGCGACCAGCCACACUGGGACUGAGAAACGGCCCAGACUCCUACGGGAGGCAGCAGUGAGGAAUUUUCCGCAAUGGCGCAAGCCUGACGGAGCGACGCCGCGUGUGGGAAGAAGGCC
RNAcentral lists this ribosomal RNA (377 nucleotides) under uncultured bacterium. RNAcentral describes it as "bacterial SSU rRNA". It matches the Rfam family "Bacterial small subunit ribosomal RNA", at positions 28 to 416 of the family's 1533-position model. The record is from RNAcentral.